This is a non-coding RNA of Benincasa hispida (wax gourd), 1797 nucleotides long. NCBI's taxonomy places the organism in Eukaryota, Viridiplantae, Streptophyta, Magnoliopsida, Cucurbitales, Cucurbitaceae. The record is from RefSeq and is a predicted model, not a curated record.
GUUAAAUAAAUCCUUGCAGUGGAAGAUCUACUGCUCAUUCAAAUCUUGCCGCCGACAGAGCUAGUUAGUUCGUCAUGGCGGACGUGAUGCUGAUGAAGGAGAUUGAGGAAACGGCUGGUCGGCUUGGGAUAGAUCUCUCCCAAGUUGAUUUUGACGCUAUUCGUCUCCCUCCUGCGAGGAUUUCGGAAUCAUUAGGUUCCUCAUUCUUUUGAUUGAAUUUGACAUUCUUCUGGAGGAUACUGAUUGGGCUGGUUUGCUUAAUUUGAUUAAAUUUUUUAAAAGUCAGAGGUUUGAUGCAGAUACUGGACUCCCCAAGCCAAAUGAAUUUCGUGAUUUUCACGAGUAUUUUCUUCUUGAGGUAAUGCAAUGAGGAGCUGAGUUAUGAAGGUCUUCAAGGUCUUCUCGGCUUAACACAUGCAGGAACAGUUCCUGAUGUUCUUCCCCCACCAAGAUCAGCUCUUUUAUCUUCAUUUGUGCUUCCAUAUAAACCCGAGGUCAGACUCUGCAUUCAUAAUAAGUUGCUUCACUUUUUCUCCCAAAGAGUUAUAAUACACGUCGCAUGUGCUGUCUAUUCAAUUCUGUUGGUAUUGAAUAGUAUGUUUUGGAAUCCAAAUCAAUUACUUCAAAUGUUCAGAAGUUUGGAUAUAGUGGUUACUGGUUACUGUUGAUAUCCCAAUGCAUGUUUUAUGUUUCAAUAAUCCAAAUGCAUGUUUUAUGUUUCAAUAAUCCAUAUUUUGUAUAUUCCUGAAGGUAGUUUGUUACACUGCAACUUUCAGUGAAAAGUUUGUUUCUUUUUCACAAGGAAAUAUUGAAUCAUGCUUCUGCUGCUGUUCCCUUGCCUUUAAUUGUAUCUGGUAGAACCCGAAUAUAUUGAGAGAUAAACGAUAACGAAAUACAAGAUAAAUCAAAUAUUUGAGGUAUUUAGACCUUUGAAUACUCUCAAGUCCUAAAUCAUUCACCAAAAUAUUGCCCCCUUUCCCCGUUCCCUAUCCACUGUAUUGAUAACCAAACUUCCCUAACCAACUACUUAACUAUUUACUAAUAUACCCCUAAUAACCCCUUAUACCCAAUCCUAUCAGUAUCCUCGUAAUUUAUUAGAAGGGAUGAGUAUACCAAUUAGAGAGGGAAAAGGAUCUAGCGAAGUGGACCACAUAGCUAUAGGUUACUUCAUAUGUUCAUUGCAGAUAGUGGAUGAAGCAAACCUGAAAACGACUAAGUAAACGUAUUGCAGAUAGGAGAUUACAGUAUUGCUGUAUUUUUUUUCAUCAUUUCAGUUCAUUGGAUUUCUGGAACCAUACAUGGAAGAUAGCCAUUUGAAAGGAUGGAAGCACUCAUCUUUUCUUCAGAUGAUUCCCUAGGAAGAUCAAAAGAUGGCUACACGGUUGACGAAUACAAUGUCCAACUCGCUGAAAGGGAGGUUUGUUUAGGUACCAUAAAUAUAAAGUAUACGUGAUAAAUAGUUUCUAUCUUUGGGGAUUUCCUUAUCAUAUGCUUUUUUUCUUUUGGAAGGGUCGUAUAUUUCAAGGCAAAGAGCCACCCCAGUUUAUUGCCCUCUUUCAACUUUUUGUGGGGUGCUCAAGGUGGUAGUCUAUAAAGCUUCUUUCUUAACUCAUCUCUUUUGAUUAGAAUCACGUUGUAGUUUCUUUUACAAGAUUUUGAUGUGGAACUGAGAGGGCCUUGAGAGAUAGAUAACCAUCAUUUUCUUAAUGAAUUCUGGUUUAGGGUGGCUUGAGCUCUAGUUUCAAGAAACUCAUAGCAGAUAAAGCUUUGGCUAAUGAAACUUACAUUGGAAGAUUC